This is an RNA transcript of Vespula pensylvanica (western yellowjacket), 2474 nucleotides long. It is a transcript of the gene named probable cytochrome P450 301a1, mitochondrial, with no coding region annotated. NCBI's taxonomy places the organism in Eukaryota, Metazoa, Arthropoda, Insecta, Hymenoptera, Vespidae. The record is from RefSeq and is a predicted model, not a curated record. The transcript has 13 exons.
AUGUCCAGAAAGGAAAAAAUAUAUAUUUCUUACGAUACAAUGUGAAAGUUCGAACUUUGUUUGGUAGUUACCAAGGCAACCGAGUUUGUUCGCACAUAUUACUAGCUUCGUUAUCAAUUUUUAUUAACGCCUAAAUAAUACAUGUUACACUUUAAAAGAGCAAGAUAUAUCAGGAAUACUUGAUAAAUUUUCUGCCUAAUUUGUCUGCUUAACGUUGUAAUUCUGAUCUUCGUAAGAAAAAAAGGAAAAAUUCAUUUUGACUAAAUCAUGAUGUGCCGAGUAUUGUCACCUUCGGCGAUAGUCCUCCGAUUCUAUCCAUUUUGUAUGAACGGUAAUACGUGCCGUGGAAUUACUAAAUUUCCGGUAUUGUCGAAUGUGGAAAAUCAAAGAUGUAUAGAUAUAAAUACCAAUGAAGUUAUAUCGACACGUAUGGCUCAAUCUCACGCAGCGUCAGCCGUUAGCGAAACUUUAAAUCGCGAUGACACGCUACCUUUGAUGGAGUCAACGAGCGCGGAAGUGAUGUCGGAAACUUUUGAAAUACCGAGUAAAUUUUUGCGACCAACCAUCGAAGAUAGAGCUCCGUUAUCCUUCGAUCAGAUACCAGGUCCCAUGAUAAUGAAGCUUUGGGAAAAAUAUUGGAAAUACGUGCCGAUUUUCGGUACGCAACUGUUUUCCAGUCUGCUAAACAACAGAUUCAGCCAGGGACGAUUAAGUUGGAAUCGCAACAUUACGCCGGUUAAAUAUCUCUUUAAUAGAUACGGUUGUAUCGUAAGACUCAGUGGUCCAUUAUCCGGUGAUAUCGUCAUGAUUCAUAGGCCAGAACAUAUAGAAGAAGUUUUCAAACAAGAAGGCAAUACUCCCAUUCGUAGUGGUAUCGACGUUCUCGAGCACUAUCGUCUUCACUAUCGGAAAUAUCGUCUCGCAGGUGCUUUUUCAAUGCAAAGUUCGGAAUGGUUAGAAUUGAAAGAAAAAGUACACAAACCGUUCAAUAAGAUAGAUCCAAAGUUUUUCAGAAAGCUUGAAAUAGUUUCCGAAGAUUUCAUAGGUCAAAUACGAAAAAUACGUAAUAGACAGGACGAAGUCCCUGAUAAUUUCAACGAAGACAUUGCUCGCUGGGGUUCGGAAUGUUUCUUCACCCUUAUAUUCGAUAAGAAGCUUGGAUUUCUCGAUUCAACAGGACAGAACCCUACAUCGGAGCCAGCAAUAUUCAUCGAUGCGCUUACGACCGCUCACAAGUAUUUGAGCCGUUGCGAAACUGGUUUUCAAGUAUGGAGAUUCUUUGAUACUCCCUUUUCUAAACGGCUUUUCUCGGCGUGCGAUGUUAUCGAUGGUAUUAUAGGUAAAUACAUUCGUCAAGCACAAAAUAUGUUUCGAACCCGAUCGCCGUUGUCUUGUUCCGAGGAAACUUCAUCUGUUCUAGAAAAGUUGUUGUUAGCUCAACGUCUUCAUCCCGAUGAUGUUUCCACCUUAUUGAUGGACAUGGCAAUUUUGGGAGUUCAAGCGAUGACAAGUUGCGAAGCGUUUCUUUUAUACUUCUUGGCAAAGAGUCCCCGAGUUCAGAAAAAAUUAUACGAAGAGAUCGUUUCUGUUAUUCCUAACGCGGAAUCUUCGAUAACCGAAACUAAUUUGCAAGACAUGCCGUAUUUAAAAGCUUGCUUGAAAGAAAGUCUGAGAUUGCGACCUGCUUUUCCAUACAUUACCAGACUAUUACCAAAUUCGAUAUGUCUCCAUGGAUAUACAGUACCAAAAGGGACUUUCGUAAUAAUGGCCAGUCAAAUAACAUCGCAACGCGAAGAAAAUUUCGAAGAUCCGGAGAAAUUUCGACCGGAAAGAUGGUUAACGAAUCGAGUGGACGAUGAUUUUCAAGAAUAUAGUUAUUUACCAUUUGGACAUGGCGCACGAUCUUGCCUGGGAAGACAUAUGGCUGAAAUAAAAAUGGCAUUGCUUACGGCAAAGUUGGUCCGGGAGUUCAAAAUUGAGUAUAAUUACGCCGAUAUUGGAACCAGUUUUUACAUGAUGAAUGUACCUGAUAAACCUCUUCGUUUUCGAUUUAUCGAUAGAGAUUGAAGCAACGAUUAUUACUUACAACGAUAUACUUGGAUAUGACAAAAUAAUUUUGUUAUAAAAUUUUUUCUACGAGUUAAGGAAUAUGAAUUAUACAGGAAAUAACAAAAGCACGAUUUAGGAGAUACCGAUUUCACUAUGCUUACAGCCGAUGAAACGAUGAUAUACGAUAGUUUUAUAGAUGUUACGGAACGUUUACGGUGGAUAAUUUGAGAAAUCAUUCAGUUGCUCGAUGAUAAUAAUGCAAUCUAUCAUAAUCACGAAAUACUGAAAAAUUUCAUUUUAAAUAAAUUAUUCAUUAAUAAUUGAUAUAAACCAAAGCAAGAUUGCAAUUUAAAAUCUGUUAAGAUUACUGACCUUGUAAACGAAGUGAUGGCCAAAAUCAAAUAGACCCAGCCCGGAAAGCCUUA